UACAGAGGUCUCAAGCGUUGUUCGGAUUCAUUGGGCGUAAAGGGUGCGUAGGCGGUGAGGUAAGUCGGAUGUGAAAUCCCGGGGCUCAACCCCGGAACUGCAUUCGAUACUGCUCUACUUGAGGACUGGAGAGGAGAUUGGAAUUCACGGUGUAGCAGUGAAAUGCGUAGAUAUCGUGAGGAAGACCAGUGGCGAAGGCGAAUCUCUGGACAGAUCCUGACGCUGAGGCACGAAGGCUAGGGGAGCAAACGGG
This 253-nucleotide ribosomal RNA is filed under the name uncultured bacterium. Its description in RNAcentral is "partial 16S ribosomal RNA". It matches the Rfam family "Bacterial small subunit ribosomal RNA", at positions 524 to 776 of the family's 1533-position model. The record is from RNAcentral.